UGAUGGUCCAACCCAAUCCAGCUCCCUACAUACUCUCAAGUGAGAUAAAGUCCCUGUUGUACAUGUAAAGAACAUGUUAGGAAAAACGGUUUGAGUCUUUCCAGCUUCUGGGAAGGGCAAACCUCUUCGCGGAACUGUUUUUGCCCAGGGACUUGGAUCCACUUGGUGUGUGAUGCAGAAAAACGGGGAUGUUCAAUGUGUACCACAAGGCAGUUUGAUGUUGGGGGAGUGCAGUCAGUAAUUCCAUGUGUAUAUAUAUAGGUUUGUGUGUGUGUGUUUAAUGCUUGCUAAUUAUGGUUUGUUUGUAUAUCUUAAUCGUAAUGUAGUGAUGUAGAGUAAGGGGUGGAAUGUCAUGGUUUUAUGAUUUUUGGUUAUUGGUAUUCCACAUCAUGACAUCAUAUAGUGCACUGGGAGUUAAAGAGUUAAUGCUUGAAUUCCAGGCAUCUGUCCAGAAGAGAAGAAGAACUACAUACCCCAAAACACUUUGUGUUCAGAGAGAGAUAUAACCCCUGGCAAGGUCACCUGAUAUGUCCCUUUUUUCUCGGCUCUCCUCCCUGCUGCUAGUCCCAACCAUACACAUCACCUCCGCUCUAGUGUAAAGCCAACAGUUUUUCAGACAUUCUCUCUCAUUAUAUUUGAUUUCUUAGCUUCAGUUCUAAUUAUAUUGCAUUAUAGAGUGUUAUCUUGCAUUCCAAUAUUAUGUUUAGUAAAUUAUUUAGUUUCUCCCCAGAUCGUUGCCACAGAAUAAUUUUAAUUAUUUGCAGCCCCUUGUUUUCCCUUUCCGGAAGCAUGGAUCUGUGGAUUCCUCUGCCCCGCUAGUCGCAGAACUGGGCCAAGCCAGCCCGUAAACUGUCAAUAAGUCUGUUGGCUCCCAUCCACCAUCAGCAUUGCCCCUUUCUCAAGGCUGCGUCCCAAGCCGUAAUACCCAAAGCACUGAGUGCGACACCAUUCACAACUCCAUUCAUUCAGCACACCCCCCUCCUUCUUUUGUGUGAAUCCCAGUCACCAACUGAGAGGACAGAGGAGAACACAACUUGCGCUCCUGAUCCCUUCAGCAGUCUUCCCAGAGGCCUGAAGUCCCUUUUGACACCCGAGAACCUCUUUUGCCUACCCCUUCAUUUCCAAUGUGGAAAACCAGUAAUGGAUAAUAAUCGGAGGGCUUAACCAGAUAUCGGGGACUUCACCAGACAGCCACGAUUUUUCAAAUAUGAUGGAGAGUGGCUGGGCAACCACAUCAGUCAUCUCUUUCAGAACCCUAGGAUGGAUAUCAUCUGGCUCCGUGGACUUAAACACGUUCAGUUUUGUGAGGAGGACUGGGACUUGUUGCACGGUUACAGUGGGACAGAAACCACUCCCCACACCUUCACCUAGAGGCUCACUGUCCUGGCAGACAUGGGAAGGUGGGACAGGCUGAGGGGCAGUCCGCUUGUUGCCCCGAACAGGGACACGUUUCCAUCCCUCGCUGGUUUUGAGGUCGCCCUUUCCCACCUGACUGUGAGACGGCAGAUGAUCUCCCACUGCUCGAGGACCCAACCCUUCCUGUAGGGAUGGCAGUGUAUGACUCCACCUGUCAAUUCCCUUCCCACAAUCUUGCAUGCUCCUCGGCCUUUCUACUUCCUCCUUUACCUCUAUCACCAAGCUGAGCUGAUAACCCAACCUGCUCACGCCGCACACAGGUGGUAUCCCGGCUGCCAUCCGGUAGCAGUGACAGGGCCAGGCAUUCUCUGCAGCCUGAGAGCUGAACUGCGGCCUUGCUGAUCCGCUCGGGGCUUGCCCUGAAAAUCAUUUGCUUCACAGUGGCUUAUGGUUUCUCUGCGUUUGAACAGCUAACAUCCUAACUCCCUCUCUCCAUCCCUGAGGCUUUUUCAAGGAAGAGGGUGUGGAUGCCCCAGCAACGCCCACUUCAUGCCAGCUGCCCUUGCAAGAUCUGCCAGGCUGCUGUUAUCUCAGGGUUCCCUCGAUGAAGAAACCUACCGAAACCUCCCUGUACCUCACGGAGAGUCGCUGUGGUUCUGGCCGGGACAGCUCCGAAGCAAACCUCAGUGAUCAAGGUCCAAAACCAUCUAUCUCAUCGUGCGUUGUGCAAGGAAACAAUAUAAUAACAUUAUAACACAACAACAUAAAUCACGCCUUCUACACAGCUUCCCAACUGCCUGAUUUAGAGCUUUCUCCUUCAUUUUGUGUAACACUUUGUAAUAGCACUUCCGGAUGCAUUUAGGUUAUCAUGACUCAAUCAAAGCUUUGAUUGUUAACACGCUGAACGUAAGAAAAGAGACAAGGCAAACAUAGCAUAAUGACAACAAAUACUAUUAAAACCAUUAAGAAAAGAACAAAUACAUGUCUAGCCCAUGGCCCAAGAUUCUGCAGCCUGGAAAAGAAUCUCUGAGGGUCCCAUUCUGUGUGUAGCAGUAACUGAUUAGAGAGAAUCUUCAACUUUUGUAUGUUCUGAUGUAUUGAUUUUUGAGUGAUUACUGUGGCUCAUAUAACACAUGCCUUUAAAAUCUUCACAACCGUGCCUUUGGGCUAAUAAUAGACAAUCAAUGCAAUUGUAAAGUUGCAUGUUGGAUAGAAUCAACAUCAAUGGUAAGCCUGCUGGAGCAUCACUAGUGGCAUUGCUUUCCUCAACCAGCUAACAUCCUAACUUAUUGAGUGUGGCUAAAGCUGAGAAGUGCUGUUUCAGGGUAUGUUUGAAUCUGAGUGACAGGAUGUCUCAGGAGCAGGGACAAGCAAACUAUGCACUCACAGAACUGCAAAGGAUUGCGAGUUUUAGUCAACAGAUGUACACUCUCACACACAUAGGCAUCCAUUUUAGAUAACCCCAAAAGUGGGAAGCAGAAACUCCCCAAGCUAGCGCAUUAUUACUUACUGACCCCCAAGAGACAGCAAACCACUGAAAAGGAGAGAGAAGGAACAUAGAAUCAUAGAAUCAUAGAAUUGCUCAAGUUGGAAAAGACCUAAAAGAUCAUCAAGCCCAACUGCAACCUAACUAACCUAACACAUCCAGGCUGGAUGUGGCUCUGGGCAGCCUGGUCUAGUGGUUGGUGACCCUGCACACAGCGGGAGGGUUGAAACUUGAUGAUCAUUAUGGUCCCAGGCCAUACUACGAUUCUAUGAUUCUAUGAUUCUAACCAUAGUACCCUAACUCUAAUAACCCUGUGUUAAAUCAUGUCCCUGAGCACCACAUGCUGGCGGUGGAUGUGAUAGGUAGUGCCAGCAGGGCGUCCCCUGCUUCAGAGUGCACUUUUCCACUGUCAUCCAUCACAGACUCGCUCCUGCUUUUAAUCUUCUCAGGGUCUGCAGGGUUUUUUUUUUUCCAUUUGUACACCAGCUACGCGUGGCCAAUGCAUGAUACAGAACCCAAAUGGAACACCUGCUUGCAAAACAAAAUAAACUACCAAGGUCAGCUCUCUCUACAAAACAAAAUAUUUGCAGCUAUAGCUACAAAUAUCUGUUCCCUUAAAAGUGUCAGAAUACUUUGUUCCAUCCCAAGAUCAUUGUUCAGUGAGGAGCCUUUGGGUCCCUGAUAUAGGUGCCAAUUGAAGGGAUCAGUGAACUAAAAAAAUCUGUAGGGCAGUAUUCCAGAAUUCUAUCAUAGGUCGAAUCAAAGUAAGACAGCGUGUGCCUUUGUCUCAAGUGAUGCGUGGUCAUCUUUUUCAAAUCCUGAUGAGUGGGAUGAAAGACAGCUAAUCGUUCUAUAAUACAGAGUCAUACAGGGUCAUCCCUUUGCCUGAGAUUCCUUCUCAGGUUUUGUCUUCACAAUUUAAGAAAAGGAUCAUUGGUAGGCUAAUAGCAUCAUAACCGAGUGUUACUGACAACGGGGUGCUGAAAUUACACUAAAAGAGCUAUUCUCAUAGAUUCCAGCACCGGUCACACCAAAUUAUGUUCAGUUCAUAUUUGAUCUACUACUAAAACAGAGGAAGAAGCACACAGUAACUUCGAUAAUGCCUAAUAAUUCUAAUUCUUGAGGCUGCAUUGGUAACGCAGGAAAAUCACCCACUUUUGUCAUAGCGUUACCCAUGUUGUUAUUGUGAUAACAUCCCGUGGGUAAUCCAGCCAUUUCUCAUCACUCACUAUGGCAUCCAUAAGUGAGUGCCAUAUAUACAAUACAAUACAACAAAUUACAGAACAAUACCAAUAAGUAAGAACAGACAGACAAACCCAGUCAUUAUGAGGGCUGGAUUUUCUACCUUGGAAUGAGGCCGAACAUACUGUGCUGGAGCCCAUAUAGGGCCAGUCCCUGUGGAAACACAAGCAUAUCCACGACCCCAAGUUACCAGUGGUAAGGGAGCUUCUCAGUGCCCUGUGGCCGUAUUCCGAACGUUCACCACUGGCCGUUUCUUGAGCAUAGGGGAGGCCCCAAAAUGAUGAUCCACACGAGUUGCAUCUGUAUGGUCACGAUUCAAAAAAGUCAGCACAAGCAAAGCCUUACAUAAAUUUUCUUGUGGCAUGUCUCCUGUAUCCCCCCUUUUUUGUUUAUUAUAAUUUCACUACAUUUCAAAACAUUUCAAUACAUUACAAUUUCAGUACAUUUUAAUGUCUGAUGAGCAUGUUCAAUGAUAGCUUGUCCAGUGGGAGAAUGAGGAAUGCCUGUAACAUCUCUAACCCCCCAUUCCUGGAGAAAAGUCUGAGAGGCCUUAGAAGUAUACGCCGGUCGAUUAUCUGUUUUUAAAGUAUGUGGAAUCCCCAAAGCAGCAUAAACAGAUAUCCAGUGUUUACGGGCAUCGCGACAGCAUUCGGCUGUAUGCUGUAUGUGGCAAAUAUUUAAGAAGAGUAAGUAUCUAUUGUUACAUGCACAUAUUUUAGAUGGCCAAAGUCAUGAACAUGAGUGACAUCUGUUUGCCAGAGUUGAAGAGGUGCUGUGCAGUGGGAGAAAGAGAGGUUGGCUCGACCUCGUCAAAUGUCGACUUGCUGAUAAUAAGGUGCUGGGACAGAGAGAUGGACAGAAUAAACAGGGAUGUUUUGUAGCUAGGCAUAAGAUAAGCUCUCUGCUGUUAUGAAGACUUGCUUGCUUUCUAGCCAAUGUAUUGUUAGUGGAAACAUACUGAAUACUCAUGUUAGAAUAUAAAAAACUUGCUUAGGAAAAUAAAGGAGAGAAUCUUCCUU
This is a non-coding RNA of Meleagris gallopavo (turkey), 5103 nucleotides long. The record is from RefSeq and is a predicted model, not a curated record. Lineage: Eukaryota; Metazoa; Chordata; Aves; Galliformes; Phasianidae.